AUAUGAGAGGGAAUUGGUUCUUUGCCGAUGAGUUCCCUUCAGUCUCUGGAGGUUGCUCUGAACUUUGUUAGCUCUUCUCUCACUAUCUUUUUCCCUGCCAGGGUCAUAGGAAUAGAAUCCUUUUGUUUCACUGAAACUCUGAAUUUAUAACCUGAUUUUUGUGGACCUGUGGGCUCAAAUGAGAGAGGCCCAAGUCCAAAAAUUUUCUGUUAUAUUUUAUUUAUUUAUUUAUUUGUUUUUUUUUGUUUUUUUUUUGUUUU
This 260-nucleotide long non-coding RNA is filed under the name Lathyrus oleraceus (garden pea). RNAcentral describes it as "Pisum sativum (pea) long non-coding RNA (PSAT_LNC025196)". Lineage: Eukaryota; Viridiplantae; Streptophyta; Magnoliopsida; Fabales; Fabaceae. The record is from RNAcentral.